UACGGGGGGGGCAAGCGUUGUUCGGAAUUACUGGGCGUAAAGCGUGCGCAGGCGGUUCGUCGUGUCCGAUGUGAAAGCCCCGGGCUCAACCUGGGAAUGGCAUUGGAAACUGGCGGACUCGAGUGUGGCAGAGGGGGGUGGAAUUCCGCGUGUAGCAGUGAAAUGCGUAGAGAUGCGGAGGAACACCGAUGGCGAAGGCAGCCCCCUGGGCUAACACUGACGCUCAGGCACGAAAGCGUGGGGAGCAAACGGG
RNAcentral lists this ribosomal RNA (253 nucleotides) under uncultured bacterium. RNAcentral's name for it is "partial 16S ribosomal RNA". It matches the Rfam family "Bacterial small subunit ribosomal RNA", at positions 524 to 776 of the family's 1533-position model. The record is from RNAcentral.